Molecule: ribosomal RNA, 253 nt
Filed under: uncultured bacterium
Lineage: Bacteria
Description: partial 16S ribosomal RNA
Rfam family: Bacterial small subunit ribosomal RNA
Source: RNAcentral
GACAGAGGGUGCGAACGUUGUUCGGAAUUACUGGGCGUAAAGCGCAUGUAGGCGGCAGCGCAAGUCGGGCGUGAAAUCCCACGGCUCAACCGUGGAAGUGCACUCGAAACUGCGCAGCUAGAGUCUCGGAGAGGAAGGUGGAAUGCUUGGUGUAGAGGUGAAAUUCGUAGAUAUCAAGCGGAACACCGGUGGCGAAGGCGGCCUUCUGGACGAUGACUGACGCUGAGACGCGAAAGCGUGGGGAGCAAACAGG